RNAcentral lists this transfer RNA (72 nucleotides) under Equus asinus (donkey). It matches the Rfam family "tRNA". From Rfam's summary of the family: Transfer RNA (tRNA) molecules are approximately 80 nucleotides in length. Their secondary structure includes four short double-helical elements and three loops (D, anti-codon, and T loops). The record is from Rfam by way of RNAcentral. RNAcentral also lists the same sequence under 1 other name. Lineage: Eukaryota; Metazoa; Chordata; Mammalia; Perissodactyla; Equidae.
GCCCAGGUGGUCUAGUGGUUAAGAUUUGGCACUUUCACUACCGUGGCCUGGGUUCAUUUCCUGGUCAGGGAA